UGUUGCUGAAGUGAAUAUAUGUAACAUUAAUUCACUCAAGCAUACUAAUUUAUAGUUAUCUUUAUUUUAUUGCAGGAGAUGUUUCCUAAAGUAGGUCAUAGCUUCAAACAGACUCUUCGGAUUUCUUCUACUAUCUACUUGCAAGAGAUGUUUCUUCUACUCUUCAGGUUUCAUUCUGUAUUGCAUAUGAGGGAACAAAUGCAACUCAUUAAAGCUUUGCUGUGGAAUCAAGUAUGAUUUAUAAGAUAAGAGAAUUUUAGAUGUUGCGACGAUUCAUAGCACAUAUCUUUCAUGCUUCAUAAAGCCAUCUAGUACGUGGGCGGAGGAUUGGGUUUGUCUCUCAACUCCAUUAUCCCCGAGUGCAUCUGUAGAACAACUAUUAGUUACAAAUGACCAUGGUGUAAUCUGCAGUUAGUCAUUUUUG
This 424-nucleotide long non-coding RNA is filed under the name Olea europaea subsp. europaea. Lineage: Eukaryota; Viridiplantae; Streptophyta; Magnoliopsida; Lamiales; Oleaceae. The record is from RNAcentral.